This is a long non-coding RNA of Chelonia mydas (Green sea turtle), 793 nucleotides long. RefSeq lists it as uncharacterized. Lineage: Eukaryota; Metazoa; Chordata; Testudines; Cheloniidae. The transcript has 2 exons. The record is from RefSeq and is a predicted model, not a curated record.
GGGUAGGAAGAAGCCCAGGGGAAAAGUAGCAAGGAAGGGGAUUGUAUAGACUUUGGCUGCUGGUUAUAGGGUCCCUGGACUGGAACCCAGUGUAGAGGGAGGGCCUGGGCCUGGGCCACCAGGCACUGGGAAGUGGUUCAGGACUCUGGAGGUGCCAUCUGGACAGCUGGUCCAGCAAGACUUGGAUGCCCCAGGAGAUGGGGGACUACAGAAUGACCUAGCUGGAAGGCCAAGUCAUGAAGAGAGAGCAUUGUGAAUUACAGGAAGAGGGAACCGCUGCAAUGAUGACAUGACAAUCGAUCAUGACAGUGCCUGGGGACCCAGCUGAGCUUUUGGGCACAAGAUGUUCUUCUGCUCCUCACUCCAAGUAUAUUUUGGGAUGAAGUUUUUUGGCUGUUGGUGGUGAUCCCCCAAACCCUGCUACUACAGGUUAUUCCAUUCUACAAAGAAUACUAGCAGUCUCAGAUAUUCCUCCUGUCUCUAAAUUCAAACACUACCUUUCAGUUGUUUAACCAAUGGCCUCCUUCCUGUACUACUGAACAUUAUAUUACAUCUUUUAUAUUAGGAAGUCUAUUAAUUCAUUGUUAUGGCUCAUUAUUCCUAUUAGCAACCAAGGCAUUUUUAAAGCAGUGUACAUUUAUUACAACCUACAAAUAGGAAUCGUUCCAUACCGAGGUCAUUAUUAGUCCAGAUAGAGUUGAGCUUAACCUGUACCUUCAUGUCACAUAAUAUCCAACACAUUUAUGCAUAGAACUAGGAAAAUACUAGAACAAAUCCUAAGCAUAAUAAUGUA